GAUGAAGAACGCAGCGAAAUGCGAUAACUAAUGUGAAUUGCAGAAUUCCGUGAAUCAUCGAGUCUUUGAACGCACAUUGCGCCCCCUGGUAUUCCGGGGGGCAUGCCUGUCCGAGCGUCAUUGCUGCCCAUCAAGCACGGCUUGUGUGUUGGGUCCCGUCCCCCUCUCCCGGGGGACGGACCCGAAAGGCAGCGGCGGCACCGCGUCCGGUCCUCGAGCGUAUGGGGCUUUGUCACCCGCUCUUGUAGGCCCGGCCGGCGCUUGCCGACACCCAACCAUUUUUUUCAGGUUGACCUCGGAUCAGGUAGGGAUACCCGCUGAACUUAAGCAUAUCAAUAAGGGAGGA
Molecule: unclassified non-coding RNA, 346 nt
Filed under: soil metagenome
Description: partial contains 5.8S ribosomal RNA, internal transcribed spacer 2, and large subunit ribosomal RNA
Rfam family: 5.8S ribosomal RNA (bases 1-120)
Source: RNAcentral